Long non-coding RNA from Alexandromys fortis (reed vole), 1100 nucleotides. RefSeq lists it as uncharacterized. The record is from RefSeq and is a predicted model, not a curated record. Lineage: Eukaryota; Metazoa; Chordata; Mammalia; Rodentia; Cricetidae. The transcript is spliced from 4 exons.
UUUAUUCCCUUCUCGGAUCUUUGACGGAGUUGAAGAUUAUAUAAUUGUAAUUACUCUCUACAUUAUUUAGACUCCUUGAGAUAGAAUGUCUGGUAAAACUUUUGUUCUCAAUAUUGUUUGUUAUAUCUAUUAUUUAUUAUUAUUGUUUAUAGUUGUAUUUAGGUUAGUUCUGUCUUAUUUAGACAAAAGGAGGGAGAUGUAGGGAUAAGCCCUCCCCUUGGGGGCGGGCUGCCCUCGGGCGUAUGUUUACUGAUAUAUUGGGCGGGCAGAGGCUGCGCGCCCCUUCCCUUCCUCUCCUGUCUCCGCCGGCUACUCCGCUGGAACCUUGGUUUCGAUAUAUACUGCACUACCACUUUCUCUGCAAAGAGUAGACCUGGAACAGGGCAGGGAUCCUUGAAUUCAAAUCAGACCAGAACAAACUGUAUUAAAAGCCCGGAGAUGACAUUUACAACUCAGGUUCCUCUGUGGGCAAUGACACUCACUGCCAGGACUGAUGACUUGGGUUUAUGUCCAGGUUCCAAUUGUUAGAAGUUUAGGGUGUUUAGGACCUGGUAAUUGAGGGAAGAAUUCAUCUGACCUGUUUGAAGUGAAUCCAAGUCAAUUUACAAGAAUUCCUUGCAUUCUAUUCAGAAAACUGUGAAUAAAGUCAAAACGUGGCUGCCUGCAACUUUGGGAGACUGCCUAAGAUUUCUGAGUUCUUGGUUGUGAUUGUUGGCCAUUUGUUUCAAAGUCCAGAGAUAUGAUAAUAAAUCUCAGUUGCCUACCAUUUCCUAGAUAAUGACUUCUUCAGAUAACAAGCUUUUCUGAGAACAGCCUGGCUACAUACAUGGAUUGAAUGGGAGGAUCUACAUUUUUUUAUUGAAAGCAACCAUCAAUAAGAAACAAAGUGUACUUAAUGAUUUUAAAAUGCAAAAUCAAAGGAUUUGUCCCAUAAGCAGGACCUUAUAGUGAGUAUCUUUUCUGGAACAUUCUACUUCUUUGAAGGAGGGCUUUUGGUUUCUGUUCUAAAUUAGUAGGAAAUUACAUUAUUUGAAAAGAUACCAUUUAAGUUGGUGUACCCCAGCAUAUAUUUGAACAAAUUGCUACUGUUUCAUUAUGUU